Herpailurus yagouaroundi (jaguarundi) is the source of this 278-nucleotide long non-coding RNA. RefSeq lists it as uncharacterized. The transcript is spliced from 2 exons. The record is from RefSeq and is a predicted model, not a curated record. Lineage: Eukaryota; Metazoa; Chordata; Mammalia; Carnivora; Felidae.
GAGAUGCCCAGCUGGCAGGAAGCACCCUGGCCUCAGAUAUGUCAGCGCGGCCGUCUUAGACCCUUCCGCCCCGGGCCAGCUGCCAGCUAACUGCAGCUGUGUGAGUGGAUCCAGAUCACCUACUCUGGUGGAAAGCCAGCUGUCAUGUCAAGGGACAUUCAUGCAGCUUUCAGAUGACUGCAGUCACAUGAGACUCUGAAUUGGAACCACCCAGCUAAAAUACUUCCAGAUUCCUACCCAUCAGAAACUGUGUUUAAUAAUAAAUAUCUAUGGUUUAA